Molecule: ribosomal RNA, 507 nt
Filed under: uncultured bacterium
Lineage: Bacteria
Description: bacterial SSU rRNA
Rfam family: Bacterial small subunit ribosomal RNA
Source: RNAcentral
GGCUCAGAAUCAACGCUGGCGGCGUGCCUAACACAUGCAAGUCGAACGCGAAAGUGGAGCAAUCCAUGAGUAGAGUGGCAAACGGGUGAGUAACACGUGGGUGACCUGCCUUAGAGUGGGGGAUAACGUCCCGAAAGGGACGCUAAUACCGCAUAACAUGCUGCCUUUUAAGAGGCGGACAUCAAAGCCGGGGACCGCAAGGCCUGGCGCUUAAAGAGGGGCCCGCGCCUGAUUAGCUAGUUGGUGGGGUAAUGGCUCACCAAGGCAACGAUCAGUAUCCGGCCUGAGAGGGCGGACGGACACACUGGGACUGAGACACGGCCCAGACUCCUACGGGAGGCAGCAGUGGGGAAUUGUUCGCAAUGGGCGCAAGCCUGACGACGCAACGCCGCGUGGAGGAUGAAGAUCUUCGGGUUGUAAACUCCUUUCGAUCGAGACGAAUGGCCCUUGGGCUAACAUCCCGAGGGAGUGACGGUACCGAGAGAAGAAGCCCCGGCUAACUCCGUG